This 2323-nucleotide ribosomal RNA is filed under the name seawater metagenome. RNAcentral describes it as "bacterial LSU rRNA". It matches the Rfam family "Bacterial large subunit ribosomal RNA", at positions 527 to 2925 of the family's 2925-position model. The record is from RNAcentral.
CGACGAGGGGAGUGAAACAGUACCUGAAACCGAACGCCUACAAUCAGUUGGAGGGGCUUUACGCCCUGACAGCGUACCUUUUGUAUAAUGGGUCAUCGACUUGGUCUCACAAGCAAGCUUAAGCCGUUAGGUGUAGGCGUAGCGAAAGCGAGUCUUAAUAGGGCGUUGAGUUUGUGGGAUCAGACCCGAAACCGAGUGAUCUAGGCAUGGCCAGGUUGAAGGUAAGGUAACACUUACUGGAGGACCGAACCCACAUCCGUUGAAAAGGAUCGGGAUGAGCUGUGCCUAGGGGUGAAAGGCCAAUCAAACUCGGAGAUAGCUGGUUCUCUGCGAAAUCUAUUUAGGUAGAGCGUCAUCCGAAUACCCUCGGGGGUAGAGCACUGGAUGGGUAAUGGGGCCCCACAGGCUUACUGAUCCUAACCAAACUCCGAAUACCGAGGAGUACUAGAUGGCAGACACACGGCGAAUGCUAACGUCCGUCGUGAAGAGGGAAACAACCCUGACCUCCAGCUAAGGCCCCUAAUUCAUGGCUAAGUGGGAAAGCAGGUGGGACGACCAAAACAACCAGGAGGUUGGCUUAGAAGCAGCCAUCCUUUAAAGAUAGCGUAACAGCUCACUGGUCUAAAUAAGUUGUCCUGCGGCGAAGAUGUAACGGGGCUCAAGCCAUGAGCCGAAGCUGAGGAUGCAUUUAUUGCAUGGUAGCAGAGCGUAGUGUGACAUAAUUCCAUGUCUCCUUCACAGUUUUCGGACUGUAUUGGAGACGCGGAGUUUUCUGUGAAGCUGGCGCGUGAGCGAUCCGGUGGAGAGAUCACUAGUGAGAAUGAUGACAUGAGUAGCGACAAAGAGUGUGAGAGACACUCUCGCCGAAAGUCCAAGGGUUCCUGCUUAAAGCUAAUCUGAGCAGGGUAAGCCGACCCCUAAGGCGAGGCCGAAAGGCGUAGUCGAUGGGAACCAGGUUAAUAUUCCUGGGCCAGAUGGAAGUGACGGAUCUCGAGGGUAGUUCAUCCUUAUCGGAUUGAAUGGGCUGCUUAGAGGUUCCUGGAAAUAGCUCCAUCGCUAGAUCGUACCCUAAACCGACACAGGUGGACUGGUAGAGAAUACCAAGGCGCUUGAGAGAACUAUGUUGAAGGAACUCGGCAAAAUACCUCCGUAAGUUCGCGAGAAGGAGGCCCGGUUUCUAGGCAACUAGAGGCUGGGGGCACAAACCAGGGGGUGGCGACUGUUUAUUAAAAACACAGGGCUCUGCGAAGUCGCAAGACGACGUAUAGGGUCUGACGCCUGCCCGGUGCCUGAAGGUUAAGAGGAGAUGUGCAAGCAUUGAAUUGAAGCCCCGGUAAACGGCGGCCGUAACUAUAACGGUCCUAAGGUAGCGAAAUUCCUUGUCGGGUAAGUUCCGACCUGCACGAAUGGCGUAACGACUUCCCCGCUGUCUCCAACAUAGACUCAGCGAAAUUGAAUUACCGGUCAAGAUGCCGGUUACCCGCGGUUAGACGGAAAGACCCCGUGCACCUUUACUACAGCUUCACACUGGCAUUAGGCCGAACAUGUGCAGGAUAGGUGGUGGGCUUUGAAACCGAGACGCCAGUCUCGGUGGAGCCUCCCUUGAGAUACCACCCUUGUUCUGCUUGAUGUCUAACCGCGGACCGUUAUCCGGUUCCGGGACCCUGUGUGGCGGGUAGUUUGACUGGGGCGGUCGCCUCCUAAAUCGUAACGGAGGCGCGCGAAGGUUGGCUCAGAGCGGUCGGAAAUCGCUCGUUGAGUGCAAUGGCAGAAGCCAGCCUGACUGCAAGACUGACAAGUCGAGCAGAGUCGAAAGACGGCCAUAGUGAUCCGGUGGUCCCAAGUGGGAGGGCCAUCGCUCAACGGAUAAAAGGUACGCCGGGGAUAACAGGCUGAUACUGCCCAAGAGUCCAUAUCGACGGCAGUGUUUGGCACCUCGAUGUCGGCUCAUCUCAUCCUGGGGCUGGAGCAGGUCCCAAGGGUACGGCUGUUCGCCGUUUAAAGAGGUACGUGAGCUGGGUUUAGAACGUCGUGAGACAGUUCGGUCCCUAUCUUCCGUGGGUGUAGGAUACUUGAGAGGAGUUGCCCCUAGUACGAGAGGACCGGGGUGAACGAUCCACUGGUGGACCAGUUGUUAUGCCAAUAGCAGUGCUGGGUAGCUAUGAUCGGACAGGAUAACCGCUGAAGGCAUCUAAGCGGGAAGCCCCCCUCAAAACAAGGUAUCCCUGAGAGCCGAGGUAGACCACCUCGUCGAUAGGCCAGAGAUGUAAGCGUAGUAAUACGUUCAGUUGACUGGUACUAAUGGCUCGAUAGGCUUGAUUUG